AGUUCCCGUACGACCACUGAGGUUAAGCAACGUCGAGUCUGGUCAGUACUUGGAUAGGUGACCGCUUGAGAAUACCAGGUGCUGUAAA
This is a non-coding RNA of Acanthosepion pharaonis, 88 nucleotides long. The record is from the annotation of a GenBank genome assembly. Lineage: Eukaryota; Metazoa; Mollusca; Cephalopoda; Sepiida; Sepiidae.